AUUGAACGCUGGCGGCAGGCCUAACACAUGCAAGUCGAACGGUAGCACAGAGAGCUUGCUCUCGGGUGACGAGUGGCGGACGGGUGAGUAACGUCUGGGAAACUGCCCGAUGGAGGGGGAUAACUACUGGAAACGGUAGCUAAUACCGCAUAACGUCGCAAGACCAAAGUGGGGGACCUUCGGGCCUCACACCAUCGGAUGUGCCCAGCUGGGAUUAGCUAGUAGGUGGGGUAAUGGCUCACCUAGGCGACGAUCCCUAGCUGGUCUGAGAGGAUGACCAGCCACACUGGAACUGAGACACGGUCCAGACUCCUACGGGAGGCAGCAGUGGGGAAUAUUGAACAAUGGGCGCAAGCCGGAUGCAGCCAUGCCGCGGGUAUGAAGAAGGCCUUCGGGUUGUAAAGUACUUUCAGCGGGGAGGAAGGCGGUGAAGUUAAUAGCUUCACCGAUUGACGUUACCCGCAGAAGAAGCACCGGCUAACUCCGUGCCAGCCGCCGCGGUAA
Molecule: ribosomal RNA, 504 nt
Filed under: uncultured bacterium
Lineage: Bacteria
Description: partial 16S ribosomal RNA
Rfam family: Bacterial small subunit ribosomal RNA
Source: RNAcentral